AGCCAGUCUCAGCAAUUUAGCAAGGCCUUAAACAACUUACACCCAGUUUCAAAAUUGAAAUAUAUGUGUGUGUGUGUGUGUGUGUAUACAUACAUACAUAUAUAUGAAAAGGGCUGGGAUGUGGCUCAAUAGUUUCCCAGAAAAAUAAAAGAGUCCUGAGCCAGGCAUGGUGGCCCAUGCCUAUAAUUCCAGUGGCUCUGGAGGAUAAGGCAGGAGGAUCAUAAGUCCAAAGUCAGCCUCAGCAACUUAGUGAGACCCUAACUCAAAAUUUGAAAAAAAGAAAUGGAGAUGUGACUCUGAUUAAGCAACCCUGUGUUCAAUUCCAGGUACCAAAAAAAAAAGGGCCUGGCCCAGUGGUACACACCUGUAAUCUCAGUGACUUGGGAGACUGAGGCAGGAGGACCAUGAAUUCAAAGCCAGCCUCAGCAAUUAGCGAAGCCCUAAGUAACUCAGACCCUGUCUUUACAAAAAAGAGCUGGGAAUGUGGCUCAGUGGUUAAGUGCCCCUUCAUGCAAUCCUUGGUACCAAAGGGGGAAAAAUAAGACUGAGAUCAAAGAAUAAAACACUGUAAAAUAUCUCAAGUAAAUUUUAAAAAUUUAUUACAUGUUGAAAUAAUAUACUUCAAAUGCAUUACAUUGAAUAAAACAUACUGUUUGGUUCCUUUUCCUUUUAGUCAUGGCUACUAAGAAAUUUUUUCCCCCAUUUGGGUGCAGGGAUUGAACCCAAGGGCACUUAAUCACUGGGCCACAUCCCCAGCCCAUUUUAUUUUUUGAGACAGGGUUUCACUAAGUUGCUUAGAACCUUCCCACAUUGCUGAGGCUGGCUUUGAACUUGCAAUCCUCCUGUCUCAGCCUCCCAAGCUCCUGGGAUUACAGGUGUGUGCCACUGUGCCUGGCUACUGUGAAAGCUUCAGUUUACACAUGGUUCCCAUUCUGUUCUGCUGGUCAGCCCAGGCAGAGGUCCUUUGGUGGGGAGAAGCACACUUUCUUUCAACAAAGUGCCUACUGUGUGCCUAACUCCAUCCUACAAACUAUUAAUAUAAGUGUAAAAGGACCAGGUACAGUGCCAUAGAGCUGGGAUCAC
This 1083-nucleotide long non-coding RNA is filed under the name Marmota monax (woodchuck). The record is from RNAcentral. Lineage: Eukaryota; Metazoa; Chordata; Mammalia; Rodentia; Sciuridae.